Molecule: ribosomal RNA, 462 nt
Filed under: Streptococcus mitis
Lineage: Bacteria; Bacillati; Bacillota; Bacilli; Lactobacillales; Streptococcaceae
Description: bacterial SSU rRNA
Rfam family: Bacterial small subunit ribosomal RNA
Source: RNAcentral
GACGAACGCGGGCGGCGUGCUUAAUACAUGCAAGUAGAACGCUGAAGGAGGAGCUUGCUUCUCUGGAUGAGUUGCGAACGGGUGAGUAACGCGUAGGUAACCUGCCUGGUAGCGGGGGAUAACUAUUGGAAACGAUAGCUAAUACCGCAUAAGAGUAGAUGUUGCAUGACAUUUGCUUAAAAGGUGCAAUUGCAUCACUACCAGAUGGACCUGCGUUGUAUUAGCUAGUUGGUGAGGUAACGGCUCACCAAGGCAACGAUACAUAGCCGACCUGAGAGGGUGAUCGGCCACACUGGGACUGAGACACGGCCCAGACUCCUACGGGAGGCAGCAGUAGGGAAUCUUCGGCAAUGGACGGAAGUCUGACCGAGCAACGCCGCGUGAGUGAAGAAGGUUUUCGGAUCGUAAAGCUCUGUUGUAAGAGAAGAACGAGUGUGAGAGUGGAAAGUUCACACUGUGACG